RNAcentral lists this ribosomal RNA (468 nucleotides) under uncultured bacterium. RNAcentral describes it as "partial 16S ribosomal RNA". It matches the Rfam family "Bacterial small subunit ribosomal RNA", at positions 28 to 507 of the family's 1533-position model. The record is from RNAcentral.
GACGAACGCUGGCGGCGUGCUUAACACAUGCAAGUCGAACGGAAAGGCCCUGCUUUUGUGGGGUGCUCGAGUGGCGAACGGGUGAGUAACACGUGAGUAACCUGCCCUUGACUGUGGGAUAACUUCAGGAAACUGGGGCUAAUACCGGAUAGGAGCUCCUGCUGCAUGGUGGGGGUUGGAAAGUUUCGGCGGUUGGGGAUGGACUCGCGGCUUAUCAGCUUGUUGGUGGGGUAGUGGCUGACGAAGGCUUUGACGGGUAGCCGGCCUGGGAGGGUGACCGGCCACAUUGGGACUGAGAUACGGCCCAGCCUCCUACGGGAGGCAGCAGUGGGGAAUAUUGCACAAUGGGCGGAAGCCUGAUGCAGCACCGCCGCGUGCGGGAUGUCGGCCUUCGGGUUGUAAACCGCUUUCGCCUGUGACGAAGCGUGAGUGACGGUAAUGGGUAAAGAAGCACCGGCUAACUACGUG